This is a non-coding RNA of Pangasius djambal, 76 nucleotides long. Lineage: Eukaryota; Metazoa; Chordata; Actinopteri; Siluriformes; Pangasiidae. The record is from the annotation of a GenBank genome assembly.
ACGGCUUUGGUGUAGAGGUUCCAUGGUCUGGACUUUGAAUCCAGUGAUCCGAGUUCAAAUCUCGGUGGAACCUGUG